CCUACGGGAGGCAGCAGUGAGGAAUAUUGGUCAAUGGGCUUACGCCUGAACCAGCCAAGUCGCGUGAGGGAAGACGGCACUAUGGGUUGUAAACCUCUUUUGUCAGGGAGCAACGCCGGCUACGUGUAGCCGGACUGAGAGAACCUGAAGAAAAAGCAUCGGCAAACUCCGUGCCAGCAGCCGCGGUAAUACGGAGGAUGCGAGGGUUUGCCGGAUUUAUUGGGUUUAAAGGGGGCGUAGGCGGAAUGCCAAGUCAGCGGUAAAAGCGCGGGGCUCAACCUCGGUCCGCCGUUGAAACUGGCGUUCUUGAGUGGGCGAGAAGUAUGCGGAAUGCGUGGUGUAGCGGUGAAAUGCAUAGAUAUCACGCAGAACUCCGAUUGCGAAGGCAGCAUACCGGCGCCCAACUGACGCUGAAGCACGAAAGCGUGGGUAUCGAACAGGAUUAGAUACCCGUGUAGUC
This 460-nucleotide ribosomal RNA is filed under the name uncultured bacterium. Its description in RNAcentral is "partial 16S ribosomal RNA". It matches the Rfam family "Bacterial small subunit ribosomal RNA", at positions 338 to 795 of the family's 1533-position model. The record is from RNAcentral.